UUUUUACAUCAUGUGUACGACUAUAACUAUAUUAUUCGAUGGAUUAUGAUAAAUUACCUCCCUCCCCUCCCUCUCUUGAUCACCGACAAUCCGUCUUCCCUCGUUCAUUUUGUUGCCGGAUGUCGUCGAGUUUGGUUCGCUGCCGUUUCCUGCUGUUCGACGUCGUGGAGAGAGAGAAAGAGAGUCCUUUGUUCUUGCGUGAAGGGUGCCGGUAGAGCUACCUUUUUUCCUAUCGAGGAGCGGCCGUUAAGUAGCUCGUGCUUAUCAUCGCAAUUGUUUUAAAAGAGAUGGAAGGAUGGACUGAGACCCGUUGUAAAUUUUCAUUUCAAAUCAGGAGUUCAUAUAUUCACCUGAAAAAUGGAUGAGAACAAAUUUGAACCGUGAAAUGAAAUGCAAUAAAAAUUAUAAUGUGAAAAGUGUACAUAGAGAAUGUAUAAAGAAGAAAGAGACUGAAAAAAAAAUGUUGAGAUUCUCUGCACUAAGUUUAUAUGUUACAUGUAACAAUAAAUUCUACAUCACAAAAUGACAUUUUUAAGCAUAAUACUGACACUUUGUGCGAUUGUAGUUACGAUGCGAUUGUAUGCGUGAUGCUCGCAAAUUUGUAGGUAAAUAUUAAAACGGGCCCUCUUCGUGAGAAUCACUUUGUCGUUAUAAGAGACUUGGCUACGAGCUAUUAAGAUUAUCAGUAUUUCUAUUUCAAUCAUGUUUCAAUGGCUGCCGUUGCUAUAGUUAUACCUUUCCUCUGAAGAUACAUUCCUGUUUCUUGAAAUAUAGAAGGAAUAUAUAUAUUUUGCUAUAAAGAUGGGAAGAAAUGAGAGGAAAUGAAAAAUAAUUGGC
This 837-nucleotide long non-coding RNA is filed under the name Pogonomyrmex barbatus (red harvester ant). Its description in RNAcentral is "uncharacterized LOC105431186, transcript variant X3". Lineage: Eukaryota; Metazoa; Arthropoda; Insecta; Hymenoptera; Formicidae. The record is from RNAcentral.